GCAGCAUUUGGGAUGGGCUUCCAGAUUCAACCUGCUCGUCCAACCAUAAAUACUAUGAAUAUUGGAAGCCAAGGAAUGAUGUCUAAUGGACUGCACGCGGAACAGAACAGUAACUUGCAACCACCUUCUGUCAUUCCUGCUGUUCAAUCACCUCAGCAAUUUAAUUUGGGUGCAUCUUCAAGCCGUGGUAGGAAACCAUAUCAUCAUCGAGGAGGUAGUCGUUUUGCAGGUGGGAGAGGUCAGCGUCUUCAAAAUGAAGUUAAUUAGCUGUAGUGUAGCAUUUUGAAUGUCUCUUAAAAUUGGUGGGGCUUUGUGAAUUUGCCUGCUUUUUGUGCGAUAUUUUGGUAUGAUAUUUUGCUGUAUGGCUUGUUCUGCUAAUCUUUAUCAGUUUCAACUACUUGAGAUUGAGGAUGAUAAAGCUUUUGAAAUUCUGUGUCUGAAACUG
RNAcentral lists this unclassified non-coding RNA (445 nucleotides) under Hevea brasiliensis (rubber tree). The record is from RNAcentral. Lineage: Eukaryota; Viridiplantae; Streptophyta; Magnoliopsida; Malpighiales; Euphorbiaceae.